AGUUGGAUAGCUGGGUCAAAUGGUGGUUCCAUUCCCAGCUUUCUAAGGAAUUUCCAUACUGCUUUCCAUAUUUGCUGCACCAAUUUGCAGUCCCAUUAGCAAU
This 103-nucleotide microRNA precursor is filed under the name Marmota monax (woodchuck). The record is from RNAcentral. Lineage: Eukaryota; Metazoa; Chordata; Mammalia; Rodentia; Sciuridae.